RNAcentral lists this ribosomal RNA (440 nucleotides) under uncultured bacterium. RNAcentral describes it as "partial 16S ribosomal RNA". It matches the Rfam family "Bacterial small subunit ribosomal RNA", at positions 338 to 795 of the family's 1533-position model. The record is from RNAcentral.
CCUACGGGUGGCAGCAGUGGGGAAUAUUGCACAAUGGGGGAAACCCUGAUGCAGCGACGCCGCGUGAGUGAAGAAGGAAUUCGGUAUGUAAAGCUCUAUCAGCAGGGAAGAAAAUGACGGUACCUGAGUAAGAAGCCCCGGCUAACUACGUGCCAGCAGCCGCGGUAAUACGUAGGGGGCAAGCGUUAUCCGGAUUUACUGGGUGUAAAGGGAGCGUAGACGGCAGUGCAAGUCUGGAGUUAAAGGCGGGGGCUCAACCCUCGGACUGCUCUGGAAACUGUACGGCUGGAGUGCAGGAGAGGUAAGUGGAAUUGCUGGUGUAGCGGGGAAAUGCGUAGAUAUUAGGAGGAACACCAGUGGCGAAGGCGGCUUACUGGACUGUAACUGACGUUGAGGCUCGAAAGCGUGGGGAGCAAACAGGAUUAGAUACCCGAGUAGUC